This 567-nucleotide ribosomal RNA is filed under the name Trichoderma sp. RNAcentral's name for it is "LSU rRNA". It matches the Rfam family "Eukaryotic large subunit ribosomal RNA", at positions 76 to 664 of the family's 3401-position model. The record is from RNAcentral. Lineage: Eukaryota; Fungi; Ascomycota; Sordariomycetes; Hypocreales; Hypocreaceae.
UGCCCCAGUAACGGCGAGUGAAGCGGCAACAGCUCAAAUUUGAAAUCUGGCCCCUCCGGGUCCGAGUUGUAAUUUGUAGAGGAUGCUUUUGGUGAGGUGCCGCCCGAGUUCCCUGGAACGGGACGCCACAGAGGGUGAGAGCCCCGUCUGGCUGGCCACCGAGCCUCUGUAAAGCUCCUUCGACGAGUCGAGUAGUUUGGGAAUGCUGCUCAAAAUGGGAGGUAUAUGUCUUCUAAAGCUAAAUAUUGGCCAGAGACCGAUAGCGCACAAGUAGAGUGAUCGAAAGAUGAAAAGCACCUUGAAAAGAGGGUUAAACAGUACGUGAAAUUGUUGAAAGGGAAGCGCUUGUGACCAGACUUGGGCGCGGCGGAUCAUCCGGGGUUCUCUCCGGUGCACUUCGCCGCGUUCAGGCCAGCAUCAGUUCGUCGCGGGGGAAAAAGGCUUCGGGAACGUGGCUCCUCCGGGAGUGUUAUAGCCCGUUGCAUAAUACCCUGCGGUGGACUGAGGACCGCGCAUCUGCAAGGAUGCUGGCGUAAUGGUCACCAGCGACCCGUCUUGAAAACACGG